Long non-coding RNA from Pezoporus occidentalis (night parrot), 808 nucleotides. RefSeq lists it as uncharacterized. The record is from RefSeq and is a predicted model, not a curated record. The transcript is spliced from 2 exons. NCBI's taxonomy places the organism in Eukaryota, Metazoa, Chordata, Aves, Psittaciformes, Psittacidae.
GAUUCCAUUAAUUUUGUGUAAACAACUUAGCACAAGUAUGAGAUCUAUUCUGUAACUAUUCUCCAUAGAAAUUACACUUAAACUCACUCUUCCGAAGCCAAACUAAUCCAAACUGAAAAGCUGGGACCUUAUUUCUGCCUCAGUUGUUUUGAUUCAGCAAACUGCUCAGUAAAUAUAGGUGAGAGGCAACUGCUCCAUAUGAGUUAAGGCAGAGAUGACUCUCCUCCCACCACCUCUGGGCUUUUAAUGAUCAUGAAUCAUUCCUCCAGCUGGUUAUCAGUAUUUCUGUCAACUGGACAGGAGAAACUCCAGUGUGCAGCAAUGAAAAGGGUCUGAAGCUCAGAGUAUCAACUGAUAUUACUUCCAUGAAGUCCUAUUUAUAUAGAUUGUUUUACUAAAAAGAGGGACUACUGGAGCUCUAGUACUUCUACAGCACUGUGGGCACGAGGGGUUCAGAGCUGUCACAGCCUUCAUUUUCCUUUCCUUGUGCCUCCCUGUGCACAGGCGUUCCUGCCCUAAGCAGCUCAGACAGAAAUAUAAUUUGGACUGAUUCUUUCCUCGCACUGCAACAGCUGAGUGCUCUGGCUGGAUGGCCACACAGCAUUAACUACACUGGCACCAAUUGCCACUGCGUGUAAGAAGAGCCAGAACAGGGAGCAUAUUGUCAAGUUCAAGCAUUCAGAAAUGGAAACAACCUUUUCCCUACAUCCAGAGGAGUGGAAUCCGACCCCGCUGCUGAUGCCUGGUGAUAGAGGGUGCAUCAGAGAGGGGGAGGAAAUGGAAGAACCAGAGGAGAGAAGAGGUAGCC